GUUGAAACACAGUUUCCCGUACGAUCACCGAAGUUAAGCAACAUCGAUGAACCUGGUCAGUACUUAGCGGGUGACCGCUUGGGAAUACCAAGUGAUGUAA
This is a non-coding RNA of Acanthosepion pharaonis, 100 nucleotides long. The record is from the annotation of a GenBank genome assembly. Lineage: Eukaryota; Metazoa; Mollusca; Cephalopoda; Sepiida; Sepiidae.